GGAUCAAUAUGCUGGUCGUGCCUUUGGUACGUACUGGUAUUAUUGGUUUCUCCUUUCUGAUGAAUCACGAUGUCAUUAAUUUGGUGUCAUGGGGAAUCAGGACUGUUACUUUGAAAAAAUUAGAGUGUUUAAAGCAGGCUUACGCUUGAAUACAUUAGCAUGGAAUAAUGAAAUAGGACGUUUAAUUCUAUUUUGUUGGUUUCUAGGAUUGACGUAAUGAUUAAUAGGGAUAGUUG
Molecule: ribosomal RNA, 236 nt
Filed under: uncultured Glomus
Lineage: Eukaryota; Fungi; Glomeromycota; Glomeromycetes; Glomerales; Glomeraceae
Description: partial 18S ribosomal RNA
Rfam family: Eukaryotic small subunit ribosomal RNA (bases 50-236)
Source: RNAcentral